This is a non-coding RNA of Hirundo rustica (Barn swallow), 399 nucleotides long. NCBI's taxonomy places the organism in Eukaryota, Metazoa, Chordata, Aves, Passeriformes, Hirundinidae. The record is from the annotation of a RefSeq genome assembly.
AUGGCCUGGGCCCUUCUCCUCACAGUGCUUUCCCACAGCUUAGGUUCCCUGGUCCAGGCAGCAGUGACUCAGCAGCCACCCUCGCUGUCACACAACGUGGGAGACACUGUCAGGAUCACCUGCUCUGGGCUUAGUAGCAGCUAUGAUGCUGGCUGGUACCAACAGAAGGUCCCUGGCACUGGCCCUGUCACUGUGAUCUAUGGCAGCAACGGCAGACCCUCGGGCAUCCCUUCGCGAUUCUCCGGAUCCCGGUCCGGCUCCACGGCCACGUUAACCAUCACUGGGGUCCAAGCCGAGGACGAGGCUGUCUAUUUCUGUGGUAGCGAUGACAGCAGCAGUACUGAUGAGGGUGUAUUCGGCACCAUGACCACGUUAACCAUCACUGGGGUCCAAGCUUAG